GAGAUGAGUUCUCCCUGAGACUUAGAGUCUCCUGAAGGAACGUUGAAGACGACGACGUUGAUAGGCCGGGUGUGUAAGCGCAGCGAUGCGUUGAGCUAACCGGUACUAAUGAACCGUGAGGCUUAACCUUAC
This 132-nucleotide ribosomal RNA is filed under the name Salmonella enterica subsp. enterica serovar Agona str. 0322. RNAcentral describes it as "partial 23S ribosomal RNA". It matches the Rfam family "Bacterial large subunit ribosomal RNA", at positions 2801 to 2925 of the family's 2925-position model. The record is from RNAcentral. Lineage: Bacteria; Pseudomonadati; Pseudomonadota; Gammaproteobacteria; Enterobacterales; Enterobacteriaceae.